GGGCGUUUGGCACAGUGGUAGCGCGCAUGCUUUGCAUUCGGGCAGUUUGCAUGAGGUCGAGGGUUCAAACCCCUCAACGUCCA
Molecule: transfer RNA, 83 nt
Filed under: Trametes cinnabarina
Lineage: Eukaryota; Fungi; Basidiomycota; Agaricomycetes; Polyporales; Polyporaceae
Description: Pycnoporus cinnabarinus tRNA
Rfam family: tRNA
About the family: Transfer RNA (tRNA) molecules are approximately 80 nucleotides in length.
Source: Rfam by way of RNAcentral